This 73-nucleotide transfer RNA is filed under the name Candidatus Undinarchaeales archaeon. RNAcentral's name for it is "tRNA-Gln". It matches the Rfam family "tRNA". Rfam says of the family: Transfer RNA (tRNA) molecules are approximately 80 nucleotides in length. Their secondary structure includes four short double-helical elements and three loops (D, anti-codon, and T loops). The record is from RNAcentral. Lineage: Archaea; Nanobdellati; Candidatus Undinarchaeota; Candidatus Undinarchaeia; Candidatus Undinarchaeales.
AGCCCCGUAGUGUAGCGGUCAAUCAUCGUGGACUCUGGAUCCAUGGACCCUGGUUCGAAUCCGGGCGGGGCUA